GCGAUGAAGCGGGAGGUUGCGGCGUUAUACGUCGGUUUUUCCGUGGAGUAUGUCCGAUUUUAAACCGGGCGACA
This 74-nucleotide non-coding RNA is filed under the name bovine gut metagenome. Its description in RNAcentral is "S10-Clostridia ribosomal protein leader". It matches the Rfam family "S10-Clostridia ribosomal protein leader". The record is from RNAcentral.